This is a long non-coding RNA of Sapajus apella (tufted capuchin), 157 nucleotides long. RefSeq lists it as uncharacterized. NCBI's taxonomy places the organism in Eukaryota, Metazoa, Chordata, Mammalia, Primates, Cebidae. The transcript has 2 exons. The record is from RefSeq and is a predicted model, not a curated record.
UAGUACAUUUUCACACUGCUGAUAAAGACAUACCUGAAACUGGGCAAGUUACGAAAGAAGGAGGAUUAAUGGACUUAUAGUUCCACAAGGCUGGGGAUGCCUCCCAAUCAUGGUGGAAGGUGAAGGCAUGUCUCACUUGGUGGCAGACAAGAGAAGA